GUGGGGAAUAUUGGACAAUGGGCGAAAGCCUGAUCCAGCCAUGCCGCGUGAGUGAUGAAGGCCCUAGGGUUGUAAAGCUCUUUUAACGGGGAAGAUAAUGACGGUACCCGUAGAAUAAGCCCCGGCUAACUUCGUGCCAGCAGCCGCGGUAAUACGAAGGGGGCUAGCGUUGCUCGGAAUCACUGGGCGUAAAGCGCACGUAGGCGGACUCUUAAGUCGGUGGUGAAAUCCUGGAGCUCAACUCCAGAACUGCCUUCGAUACUGGGAGUCUCGAGUUCGGGAGAGGUGAGUGGAACUGCGAGUGUAGAGGUGAAAUUCGUAGAUAUUCGCAAGAACACCAGUGGCGAAGGCGGCUCACUGGCCCGAUACUGACGCUGAGGUGCGAAAGCGUGGGGAGCAAACAGGAUUAGAAACCCUGGUAGUCC
RNAcentral lists this ribosomal RNA (425 nucleotides) under uncultured bacterium. RNAcentral's name for it is "partial 16S ribosomal RNA". It matches the Rfam family "Bacterial small subunit ribosomal RNA", at positions 354 to 796 of the family's 1533-position model. The record is from RNAcentral.